This 243-nucleotide unclassified non-coding RNA is filed under the name Ascomycota sp. Its description in RNAcentral is "partial contains small subunit ribosomal RNA, internal transcribed spacer 1, and 5.8S ribosomal RNA". The stretch from base 1 to 47 matches the Rfam family "Eukaryotic small subunit ribosomal RNA", at positions 1785 to 1831 of the family's 1831-position model. Lineage: Eukaryota; Fungi; Ascomycota. The record is from RNAcentral.
AAAGUCGUAACAAGGUUUCCGUAGGUGAACCUGCGGAAGGAUCAUUACCUAAAAUACGGUUAAGACAGCGCCGGACGUCUCCGGACCAUGGUGCUCCUGUAUUCACCCUUGUCUUUUGCGCACUCAAGUUUCCUCGGUGGGCUUGCCCGCCGAUUGGACACACUUAUAACCUUUUUAAUUUUCAAUCAGCGUCUGAAAUUAUUUUAAUAAUUACAACUUUCAACAACGGAUCUCUUGGUUCUG